GACGAACGCUGGCGGCGUGCUUAACACAUGCAAGUCGAACGGAAAGGCCCUGCUUUUGUGGGGUGCUCGAGUGGCGAACGGGUGAGUAACACGUGAGUAACCUGCCCUUGACUUUGGGAUAACUUCAGGAAACUGGGGCUAAUACCGGAUAGGAGCUCCUGCUGCAUGGUGGGGGUUGGAAAGUUUCGGCGGUUGGGGAUGGACUCGCGGCUUAUCAGCUUGUUGGUGGGGUAGUGGCUUACCAAGGCUUUGACGGGUAGCCGGCCUGAGAGGGUGACCGGCCACAUUGGGACUGAGAUACGGCCCAGACUCCUACGGGAGGCAGCAGUGGGGAAUAUUGCACAAUGGGCGGAAGCCUGAUGCAGCAACGCCGCGUGCGGGAUGACGACCUUCGGGUUGUAAACCGCUUUCGCCUGUGACGAAGCGUGAGUGACGGUAAUGGGUAAAGAAGCACCGGCUAACUACGUG
RNAcentral lists this ribosomal RNA (468 nucleotides) under uncultured bacterium. RNAcentral describes it as "partial 16S ribosomal RNA". It matches the Rfam family "Bacterial small subunit ribosomal RNA", at positions 28 to 507 of the family's 1533-position model. The record is from RNAcentral.